AGCACUAUUUAAGAGGAGGCCCAUUGAAAGAGUGACAACCAGCAAGCUUUGCACAGUCAAGAAGGAGAGAUCAUACUGGGAGUGAGGCACAGCAUGUUGCCAGACCUGCUGAGCUUUUCCAGCAACUUCUGUGAAAGAGAAAUGGGAUUUCGUGCAGGAAAGGAGAUAUUUCCUAAUCACCCUGUUCAGAGGUCUUAUGACAUAUCUCUGGAGCAGAAGGGACUUGACACUGGCUUCCUGGCUUAGAGCCAGAAGAGAACUCAACUUUCAAG
This is a long non-coding RNA of Rhincodon typus (whale shark), 272 nucleotides long. RefSeq lists it as uncharacterized. The record is from RefSeq and is a predicted model, not a curated record. NCBI's taxonomy places the organism in Eukaryota, Metazoa, Chordata, Chondrichthyes, Orectolobiformes, Rhincodontidae. The transcript has 3 exons.